CAAAAUUGAUUUAAUUUAAAAAAAAAAAAAUUGUUCCUUAACUCUCUCUCCCAAUUAUCUCUUUUCACAUUUUACAAAAACAAUAACAAUAAUUAUCCACUACUCGAUCAGCUCGGGAACCAAUGCCUGUAUCUCAAUUGCCUUCUAUAUAAUUUUUGGCGGUGGAAUCGACGAUCAUGGAUAAUACCUCUUUCCCGUAGCCGAUGCUUUCUUGGUCCCAGAUUCCUUUGCGACACCAUCAAGAAGCCCUUCUGUAAGUAUGUCUACUUUUCUCCGUCUGUUUGCUUGCUUGGAAAUGUUUGAGAAAAUUAUUACCGCUUUCUUAAUUUUUGAUAUGUUAGAUUUACCAACGUUUCAAUUUCUUGGGUUUUGGGAUGUCAACUUGGGGGAACUGGAGCUGAAUUUACUGUUUCCAUUAUAACAGGAAUUUUUACUUAAAAAAAAAAAAAAAAUUGUCCCAGCAACCAAACAGGAAUUGCCUUCCAAAUCAUGCCUGGGGUUUGGAAAUUGAGGAUAUGGGUUCUUGACUAUUUACAUUUUAAAUCUGACUUUGAUGCAAGGACUAAGGCUCUAUAGUUCAUUGAAUAGAGGAUUGAUGUAAUUGGAAUUUGAAAUUGGUUGGGAACUAGAUUUUACCUUGCAAUUGGAAAUUUUUGCUUUUCACCCAUAUUGAUGUUUUGGAUAUUUGUUAAACUUUGGAUUAUAGGCAUACUGGGAGCUUGCCCAUUCAGCAAGAGCAGCAUUUACAGGAUUGGUUUCUCUUGCUUUUCCAUAGGCUUUCUCGUGAUCUGCAUUUUUCCAAACUUGCUUUUAGUUCCCAAUUGUCACAUUUAAUAAGCUAUGAGAUGCUCUCUUUCUACUUCUACACCACUCUACCAUAGAAACAUACUGUAGCCAAAGAUGCUUCCAGUUUACAUGUUUCUAAAAUCUGUAAAAUGUUAGUUUAUUAGUUACACAUUAUUUCUUUAUAUAUAUUUUUAUACGCUAUAUUUCACAGAUUUCUAGAAUCCAGUCUCUGAUUGGGCAAACAGGAAGAAGGUGGGUUAUGGGUGUGAUAUCUCAAUUGGAGGAUGGACACUUUUUACUUGAAAGCGUAGCUGCUUCAGUAGAGAUUUUCUAACAUGAUAUCUUUACACAAUGUUUUCAUCAUUUAAAGAACUAUUUCACUGCUUUGAAAGAUUAGAUUUAGACUCAUAGAUAUACUUUUGAGUUAUAUAUAUUUCUCAUUCAUGUUAAAAAUCCAUCUUAAUAUAUUAAGGUAGAUAAAAAUAGAUCCCUGAUUUUGAUGGGACAGUGGCUUGUGAAUGCUUUCCAUUUCUUAGCUGAAAUAUGGAUUCUUAAAUGCUUAAAAUUGGGAAUUAACUAUGUUUCAAAUUGGAGAUAAUAGAUCUAAAAUGGACAUAAUUGAUCAUAAGUUUCUUUGACAAGCAGUAGAAGAUGACUACUGGAAUUUUUUCUGGAGAGCACCAUAGUUGUUGCAGAGGGCGAAAUGCAUGUAGAGGGUAUAUUCCAGGUUGGCAUUAUAUAUAUUCUAAAAGCUUCUGUACGUAUAUUUGAUAUUUUUAUAUUUGCAAAAUCUUUUGUUUUUAUCUUUUUCUAGAUGAAUUUUGGCUGUAUCAUUAAUUUUUGUCUUCUAUUGCUUGCUUCAGUGUUUACAAUAUCAUUAUACUCACAAUCUCAUGAUAUAAUUGAGAGUUGUAGAUGACUAGGAAAUUUCUGCAAAUGAUUAUAGACUGUUGAAAUGUACUCGAAACAUUCAACAAGCCUGCAGCCCGGAACUUGAUCAAUCUAAUCCCAUUUUGUACUGAUAAGGAGACCAAUCUCCAUCUUGGUUCCAGCAGGAUAGAUCUCUUUUGUCACUUUCAAUCCAUUUUGUACUGAUAUAUUUGGUUGUAUCUGAAUCUUGGUCGAUGCUGAUGAUUAAAAAGGAACCUAAUAAUCUCUACCUUUUUCUGUCAGGCAUGCUUUAGAAACUACAUGUCAUAGAUUUUGGGUGUGUAGCAUACUUUCUAAGUGUUUGGAUAAUAGAUCAACAAAAAUUCUUCUUUUUUCUUAAAAUCUUAUUUUUGUUUGCCAUAAUUUUUUCUUGUUUUUUAAUUUGUUAGGAUAUGUAAAAGGAUAAAGUUCCAUUCCUUUGUACCUCCUCUCUCUUUUUCCCAUGCAAACUUUCCAACUUCUCUAACUAUUGGUUGUAAUGUAACACUUCCAACAAACUUCUAUAUUUAAUUUUUCCAACAAGUCUCAUCGUGCAUUUGCUUGCUAACUCCUCCAACUCCAGUGAUGAUAAAGGAAAAGUUAUUCAGAAUAUAUAUACGAAAUAAUUAAAAUUAGAUAAGGUUGAGUUUCUGGGAUGUGCUAAUUCUUUUUUUGUAAAGAAGGUUAUUACCUGUGGAUUUCUUCCACUGGAGGACAGAGAGAAGUCACUCAAGGUGCUUGUUGGAUAUGGCUCUUUUGGUGGUUGUAUACUAACAAAAGAGUAGACUGUAUCCUAUCAAUUAUUUACUGACAUUCAGCACAGUUAAAACGUCAGUAAUUCAUUUUCUGGAGAUAUUUGAACUUAUUGAAUACUAUUUGCUGAUGCUUCCUAUACACUUAUCAUAGCUUAGACUUGCGGGUUUGGAAAAGAAAGCAUUUAAUGAUAUGUUGUCAUAUUCUCUGAUGUGUGGCUAGACAAUGAAGAGGUGAUUCAUUUCAGAUUCCUUCCAUCUUCCAGUAAUUUUUUUUCUCGGGAGUAGUCCUGCUGCCUGCGUAACUCAGAUGCUGUUCUUUCUAUAGAGAAGGCUUUCUUGGUGUUUUUUAGAAUGGACGAGGUGGUUCCUUGUUUGUGUGUUCAUGGGGAAUUUUUGUUCCCACCUGUGCAACCUUUAAUUUCACUCUUUCUUUAAUUUCACUCUUUUUCAAGUCUCAGGUGAGCAAGACAUUGAAUAUCUCUAGCAUAUUUUUAAUUGAUCUCUUAAUGAUAUUUUCGUUGUUCCAUAUACAAAAACAAUAGUAAUCAACCUGGUUGUGUAGAUCACAAUUUGGCAAGCUUGGCCAAAUGAUCGGAAACCAUCCAUGGCCGAAAGAGCGACAGUUUCUAUUUGUCCCAUGACCUGAUGAUGCAGGUAUAGUGCAAGCAGUGCAACAACAAACAACUUUUGUAUUUGCAUAUUAGUAAGGCAUACUGUAUGACUUUCUGCUUUUUGACAAUUUCAGGUCCAUCAAUAGUUCUAGCGAGCUGUACUUUACCAUAGUAUUUGACUGAAAAGCUUCAAAAUUCAAUUCCAAAUGCCAUAUUUUAAGUAAUCUGUGCAUACUAUUUCAUUCAUUUUGCAGCUACAAAAUACAUAAAUUAGGAGUUCGGUAUUCCAAAUGAUAAUCUACGUCUUAACUAUCCAUUUCUAUAUAAAACUGACAUGAUAUAACCUUCAAGGACCAUUGAAAAUAAAAUAAAAAAUGGUAAAUGGAAAUAUUGCUUUUUUGUCACUGUUGAAGGCAGGGACAUUGUUUAUUGAUGUUUCUUUAGUUGUCAUAUUGGAUUAGUGUCCUACAUAUUGCAGAAUCAAGUUCUACACCCAGUAACUUGCAUUUUUUUUGUCAAGAUCUACUGUAUAGAAUGCGCCGUUCAUGUUUUGUGCCCCACUCUACAUAAGAAACUGAUGAUUCUUUUAAACGAGGCAGUCUUUCUUCCACUUUUUCCUCAAAUUUAUGUAUCUUGUUGACCGAUCUUAUAGCUUAUGCGUAGUAGCCUAUGAAGCUAAAGGAAUUCAAUUUUCUGUUGCAGCUUGUUGCUACCAUAAUCUAUCAAAGUCAUUUUUUUCCGACUUCCUCUCUCACUGCAACUCAUUAUCUGGAACUAUGAUCACUCUCUUUAUCUUUAUCCAACUCCACAUACAGUAUUAUUGAUGUUCAUUUUCUUAUUUCAUAUAUUCUUUUAGCGUUGUCUUGAAUGCAAUAUUUUCACCAUUGGGACAUCCCUUCUUUUCAGUAGCUAAUAAUAUAAUGCUCUUCGGUGACUUGGAAUAAGAUAAAAUGUCUUUCUACAAGAUACUAUGUUUACUAUUUGUUGAGUUAAGAGGAUAGAUUCCACCAUUGUUGCAUUUGAUAGAAAUGAAUUAAAGAUUGUUUUUAUACUGCCUUGGUGUGCAGAUAUUUUUUUGGGGAUAGAACUAAGCAGAAGCAGAACUGCAGAAGGCAUUCAAGUACAGCGGAAUACCUGUUUCAAUCCUGGUUCCUUCUCAAGCGAUAAUACCUUUGUGGCAUAAGGAUCAGAAAGUGACUUGACACAGCUAAAAAGAUUUUUCUUAUUGUUCUUUGCCUGCUGUGACUGUCUUGACAGCAUAAGCUUCUAGAAUUAUUUCUUCACUAUAUUGUUUAGCAGGUUCAUGUCGUCUUGUGCAUAAAGCUAAUAAGGAUCUGGGGCUCACCUUAUUACUGAUGAUGGAAUUUCCAGGACCGCUGCUCUAAUGUUUGCUUGCAAGCUUGAAAAUGCAUUGCGUUAACAUUAUUGAUGUCCCUUUUUUUUUUUUUUUUUUGGCUAAAUAACAUUAUUGAUUUCUUAGAUGUUGCUAUUUUUGCUUGGGAUAUGCAUCUUUUACAGCUCAAUCUUCAUAUUUUGCUUAUUUGGUUUUUCAUGUUGUAGGGGAGGCUCCGUGAAGACAAUUUAGUUGUAACAGUUUUGGAGGCUCCAUUGAGACAAUUUAGUUUUAUUAUACAUAGGUGUUAUUUAUUUUAGGCUAGGGGUUUGAGAAUUGCAAAUAUAAUACAAUUGUAUUUUACUUACUAUUGUAAAAACUUUUUUUUUUCUUUAAAUAUUAAUGCAAUGGUAUGAGAAUUAUUUUA
Molecule: long non-coding RNA, 4821 nt
Organism: Ziziphus jujuba (common jujube)
Lineage: Eukaryota; Viridiplantae; Streptophyta; Magnoliopsida; Rosales; Rhamnaceae
Exons: 2
Source: RefSeq, a predicted model, not a curated record